Molecule: transfer RNA, 87 nt
Filed under: Corynespora cassiicola Philippines
Lineage: Eukaryota; Fungi; Ascomycota; Dothideomycetes; Pleosporales; Corynesporascaceae
Description: tRNA-Pro
Source: RNAcentral
GGUCUUAUGGUCUAGUGGUAUGAUUCUCGCUUAGGGUCACCUAAGUACAAUUGCGAGAGGCCCCGCGUUCGAAUCGCGGUAAGACCC